AACUUGAGUGCACGAAGAGAAAAGCGGAAUUCCACGUGUAGCGGUGAAAUGCGUAGAGAUGUGGAGGAACACCAGUGGCGAAGGCGGCUUUCUGGUCUGUAACUGACGCUGAGGCGCGAAAGCGUGGGGAGCAAACAGGAUUAGAUACCCUGGUAGUCCACGCCGUAGACGAUGAGUGCUAAGUGUUAGAGGGUUUCCGCCCUUUAGUGCUGCAGCUAACGCAUUAA
RNAcentral lists this ribosomal RNA (227 nucleotides) under Bacillus subtilis. RNAcentral's name for it is "partial 16S ribosomal RNA". It matches the Rfam family "Bacterial small subunit ribosomal RNA", at positions 639 to 863 of the family's 1533-position model. The record is from RNAcentral. Lineage: Bacteria; Bacillati; Bacillota; Bacilli; Caryophanales; Bacillaceae.